This 252-nucleotide long non-coding RNA is filed under the name Gossypium barbadense (sea-island cotton). Its description in RNAcentral is "long non-coding RNA (GBAR_LNC018062)". The record is from RNAcentral. Lineage: Eukaryota; Viridiplantae; Streptophyta; Magnoliopsida; Malvales; Malvaceae.
CCUCAUCCUCGUAAUUCCCGAGAUUAAAAGUGAUCAAGGCUUGUUUUGUAACUUUAACUUCUGAGCAUUUAUUAAGCCACUAAAGGUGAUACAACUUAGGGUGCUCGGUACAAGAUAACUUGAUAGGGGGUUGCACGUGGACCAAGAUCGAGUUGUCAAGUCACAAAAAAAUCCUACAAAAAUGAUAGACACUUGGAUCUGAAACAAAAACAGAAAAUCAAUCUUAGCAGCAAUAGAUCUAUAAAGAAACGC